Molecule: non-coding RNA, 205 nt
Organism: Oryza barthii
Lineage: Eukaryota; Viridiplantae; Streptophyta; Magnoliopsida; Poales; Poaceae
Source: Rfam
AAAAAGGCAAACCAUAAGUUUGCGUGUCCAACUUUGACUGUCCGUCUUAUAUGAAAUUUUUUUAUAAUUCGUAUUUUUAUUGGUGUUAGAUGAUAAAACAUGAUUAAUACUUUGUGCGUGACUUGUUUUUUUAAUUUUUUUCAUAAUUUUUUCAAAUAAGACGAACGGUCAAACAUUGUGCACGGAAACCAGGGUUUGUCUUUUU